CCUACGGGAGGCAGCAGUGGGGAAUAUUGCGCAAUGGGCGAAAGCCUGACGCAGCGACGCCGCGUGAGGGAUGAAGGUCUUCGGAUCGUAAACCUCUGUCAGCAGGGAAGAACGGUCACUGUGCUAAUCAGCAGUGAAUUGACGGUACCUGCAAAGGAAGCACCGGCUACCUCCGUGCCAGCAGCCGCGGUAAUACGGAGGGUGCGAGCGUUAAUCGGAAUUACUGGGCGUAAAGCGCUCGUAGGCGGUAUGUCAAGUCAAGGGGGAAAUCCCCGCGCGCAACGUGGGAACUGCCUUUGAAACUGGCAAACUGGAGUGGGGGAGAGGAUAGGGGAAUUCCAGGUGGAGGAGUGAAAUCCGUAGAUAUCUGGAGGAACAUCAGUGGCGAAGGCGACUAUCUGGCACAUAACUGACGCUGAGGAGCGAAAGCGUGGGUAGCAAACAGGAUUAGAUACCCCUAGUAGUC
RNAcentral lists this ribosomal RNA (466 nucleotides) under uncultured bacterium. Its description in RNAcentral is "partial 16S ribosomal RNA". It matches the Rfam family "Bacterial small subunit ribosomal RNA", at positions 338 to 795 of the family's 1533-position model. The record is from RNAcentral.